GACGAACGCUGGCGGCGUGCUUAACACAUGCAAGUCGAACGGAAAGGCCCUGCUUUUGUGGGGUGCUCGAGUGGCGAACGGGUGAGUAACACGUGAGUAACCUGCACUUGACUUUGGGAUAACGUCAGGAAACUGGGGCUAAUACCGGAUAGGAGCUCCUGCUGCAUGGUGGGGGUUGGAAAGUUUCGGCGGUUGGGGCUGGACUCGAGGCUUAUCAGCUUGUUGGUGGGGUAGUGGCUGACCAAGGCUUUGACGGGUAGCCCGCCUGGGAGGGGGACCGGCCACAUUGGGACUGCGGGACGGCCCAGUCUCCUACGGGCGGCAGCAGUGGGGAAUAUUGCACAGUGGGCCGAAGCCUGAUGCAGCAGCGCCGCGUGCGGGAUGCCCGCCUUCGGGUUGUAAACCGCUUUCGCCUGUGACGAAGCGUGAGUGACGGUAAUGGGUAAAGAAGCACCGGCUAACUACGUG
This 468-nucleotide ribosomal RNA is filed under the name uncultured bacterium. Its description in RNAcentral is "partial 16S ribosomal RNA". It matches the Rfam family "Bacterial small subunit ribosomal RNA", at positions 28 to 507 of the family's 1533-position model. The record is from RNAcentral.